This 432-nucleotide ribosomal RNA is filed under the name uncultured bacterium. RNAcentral describes it as "partial 16S ribosomal RNA". It matches the Rfam family "Bacterial small subunit ribosomal RNA", at positions 29 to 506 of the family's 1533-position model. The record is from RNAcentral.
AACGAACGCUGGCGGCAUGCCUAACACAUGCAAGUCGAACGAGACCUUCGGGUCUAGUGGCGCACGGGUGCGUAACGCGGGGGAACCUGCCCUUAGGUUCGGAAUAACUCCCCGAAAGGGGUGCUAAUACCGGAUAAUGUCUUCGGACCAAAGAUUUAUCGCCUUUGGAUGGGCCCGCGUUGGAUUAACCAGUUGGUAUGGUAAAAGCCUACCAAGGCGGCGAACCAUCGCUGGGCUGAGAGGAUGGUCAGCCACACUGGGACUGGGACCCGGCCCCGACUCCGACGGGAGGGAGCAGGGGGGAAUAUGGGACGAUGGGCGAGAGCCUGAGCCCGCAAGGCCGCGUGAGUGAUGAAGGCCUUAGGGUUGUAAAGCUCUUUUACCCGGGAUGAUAUGGCCAGUACCGGGGAAAUAAGCCCCGCCUACCUCCGU